This 58-nucleotide small RNA is filed under the name Buttiauxella agrestis ATCC 33320. Its description in RNAcentral is "Enterobacterial sRNA STnc450". It matches the Rfam family "Enterobacterial sRNA STnc450". Lineage: Bacteria; Pseudomonadati; Pseudomonadota; Gammaproteobacteria; Enterobacterales; Enterobacteriaceae. The record is from Rfam by way of RNAcentral.
CGCUAUACUACCCGUUGAAAUUGCUGGCCCAACCUCCACGGACUGGCAGUCAAAACGU